This 406-nucleotide ribosomal RNA is filed under the name uncultured bacterium. RNAcentral describes it as "partial 16S ribosomal RNA". It matches the Rfam family "Bacterial small subunit ribosomal RNA", at positions 30 to 526 of the family's 1533-position model. The record is from RNAcentral.
AUUGAACGCUGGCGGCAGGCCUAACACAUGCAAGUCGAACGAGUGGCGGACGGGUGAGUAAUGUCUGGGUAUCUGCCUGAUGGAGGGGGAUAACUACUGGAAACGGUAGCUAAUACCGCAUACCAUCAGAUGUGCCCAGAUGGGAUUAGCUUGUUGGUGGGGUAACGGCUCACCAAGGCGACGAUCACUAGCUGGUCUGAGAGGAUGACCAGCCACACUGGAACUGAGACACGGUCCAGAAGCCAACGGGAGGCAGCAGGGGGGAAUAGUGCACAAUGGGGGAAAGCCUGAUGCAGCCAUGCCGCGUGUAUGAAGAAGGCCUUCGGGUUGUAAAGUACUUUCAGCGGGGAGGCGUUACCCGCAGAAGAAGCACCGGCUAACUCCGUGCCAGCAGCCGCGGUAAUUC